AAGGGAAGCUAUCGGUGACGGUGCGCGAAUCCCAAAAAUAACGUCUCAGUUCGGAUUGUAGUCUGCAACUCGACUACAUGAAGCUGGAAUCGCUAGUAAUCGCGGAUCAGAAUGCCGCGGUGAAUACGUUCCCGGGUCUUGUACACACCGCCCGUCACACCAUGGGAGUCGGAAAUGCCCGAAGUCAGUGACCCAACCGCAAGGAGGGAGCUGCCGAAGGUGGAGCCGGUAACUGGGGUGAAGUCGUAACAAGGUAGC
This 258-nucleotide ribosomal RNA is filed under the name uncultured bacterium. Its description in RNAcentral is "partial 16S ribosomal RNA". It matches the Rfam family "Bacterial small subunit ribosomal RNA", at positions 1242 to 1500 of the family's 1533-position model. The record is from RNAcentral.